UCCCUGGUAGUCCAGUGGUUAAGACUCUGUGCUUCCACUGCAGAGGACACAGGUUCGAUCCCUGGUUGGGGAA
Non-coding RNA from Bos taurus (domestic cattle), 73 nucleotides. The record is from Rfam. Lineage: Eukaryota; Metazoa; Chordata; Mammalia; Artiodactyla; Bovidae.